Molecule: ribosomal RNA, 541 nt
Filed under: uncultured crenarchaeote
Lineage: Archaea; Thermoproteati; Thermoproteota
Description: bacterial SSU rRNA
Rfam family: Archaeal small subunit ribosomal RNA
Source: RNAcentral
GGGGUGCAGCAGGCGCGAAAUCUCUGCAAUAGGCGAAAGCUUGACAGGGUUACUCUGAGUGAUUCCCGUUAAGGGGAUCUUUUGGCACCUUUAAAAAUGGUGCAGAAUAAGGGGUGGGCAAGUCUGGUGUCAGCCGCCGCGGUAAUACCAGCACCCCGAGUGGUCGGGACGAUUAUUGGGCCUAAAGCAUCCGUAGCCGGUACUGCAAGUCUUCCGUUAAAUCCACCUGCUUAACAGUUGGGCUGCGGGGGAUACUACAGCGCUAGGAGGCGGGAGAGGCAAGCGGUACUCAAUGGGUAGGGGUAAAAUCCGCUGAUCCAUUGAAGACCACCAGUGGCGAAGGCGGCUUGCCAGAACGCGCUCGACGGUGAGGGAUGAAAGCUGGGGGAGCAAACCGGAUUAGAUACCCGGGUAGUCCCAGCUGUAAACGAUGCAGACUCGGUGAUGGGCUGGCCUUGUGCCAGCCCAGUGCCGCAGGGAAGCCGUUAAGUCUGCCGCCUGGGGAGUACGGUCGCAAGACUGAAACUUAAAGGAAAUGGCG